Molecule: ribosomal RNA, 497 nt
Filed under: uncultured bacterium
Lineage: Bacteria
Description: bacterial SSU rRNA
Rfam family: Bacterial small subunit ribosomal RNA
Source: RNAcentral
AUUGAACGCUGGCGGAAUGCUUUACACAUGCAAGUCGAACGGUAGAGGGGGCAACCCCUUGAGAGUGGCGAACGGGUGAGUAAUAUAUCGGAACGUGCCCAGUCGUGGGGAUAACGUAGCGAAAGUUACGCUAAUACCGCAUACGAUCUAAGGAUGAAAGCGGGGGAUCGCAAGACCUCGCGCGAUUGGAGCGGCCGAUAUCAGAUUAGGUAGUUGGUGAGGUAAAGGCUCACCAAGCCAACGAUCUGUAGCUGGUCUGAGAGGACGACCAGCCACACUGGAACUGAGACACGGUCCAGACUCCUACGGGAGGCAGCAGUGGGGAAUUUUGGACAAUGGACGCAAGUCUGAUCCAGCCAUUCCGCGUGCAGGAUGAAGGCCCUGGGUUGUAAACUGCUUUUGUACGGAACGAAACGGUGAGCUCUAAUACAGUUUGCUUAAUGACGGUACCGUAAGAAUAAGCACCGGCUAACUACGUGCCAGCAGCCGCGUAAGUG